UUAUGGCUCAGGACGAACGCUGGCGGCGUGCUUAACACAUGCAAGUCGAACGGAGUUACGGGAGCUUGCUCCUGUAACUUAGUGGCGGACGGGUGAGUAACGCGUGAGCAACCUGCCUUACAGAGGGGGAUAGCCAUUGGAAACGAUGGAUAAUACCGCAUAACGUACAGUCAUGGCAUCUUGAUUGUACCAAAGGAGCAAUCCGCUGUAAGAUGGGCUCGCGUCCGAUUAGAUAGAUGGUGAGGUAACGGCCCACCAUGUCGACGAUCGGUAGCCGGACUGAGAGGUUGAACGGCCACAUUGGGACUGAGACACGGCCCAGACUCCUACGGGAGGCAGCAGUGAGGGAUAUUGCACAAUGGGCGAAAGCCUGAUGCAAGCAACGCCGCGUGAGGGAUGACGGUUUUCGGAUUGUAAACCUCUGUCUUCGGUGAUGAUAAUGACAUUAGCCGAGGAGGAAGCCACGGCUAACUACGUGCCAGCCGCGGC
This 489-nucleotide ribosomal RNA is filed under the name uncultured bacterium. Its description in RNAcentral is "bacterial SSU rRNA". It matches the Rfam family "Bacterial small subunit ribosomal RNA", at positions 17 to 518 of the family's 1533-position model. The record is from RNAcentral.